UCUUAUUUUGCUAAAACAUAACAUUAUGACUGUGCAACAUAAAAUGAGAAUUUUGCUGUGCUUUCCAGUCACAUUAAUUUUUUUUAAAAUUCAAAGAUAGUUCACAUCACCAUGAAAAAUCUACUACUAAUAAAAUAACCUAUGAAUCAACAAGGGUAAAAGUUUCAGAUGUGAUCUUUAUGUAUUCAUUCAUCUAAAUUUCCUACACCAUGACAAUUGACAAAUUAAGGAUGAUAGGUCAGUUGCCAAUUCUACAUAUAUUUAACCACCUUCUUUUCCCUUUUUGUAUGGAUGUUCCCUCUGAGCUAACUAUGUUUAGUGGUAUACACACACAACUCUUAACUAUGGCUGGUGUCAAACUAUCAUUUCAAAAUUAUUUUUAUUGGUUAGAUCGUUCCCUCUGAGCUAACUAUGUUUAGUGGCAUACACACACAACUUAACUAUGGCUAGUGUCAAACUAUCAUUUCAGAAUUAUUUUUAUUGGUUAGAUCUAUUCAUCUAUUUCGAGACUGAAGGAUGCCUACUACUAUUCAUGUUCAAAUUUUGGAAAGGUAUAGGAGAAAAAUCUAAUGUUUUGGAAAAACCCAAAGUUUCUAAUCUUUAUUUUAUCAAGUUAAAUUUAAGCUGUCAGUAAAAUAUUCCUAAGGACAAAAGAAAUCCAAAUCUUUAACGUUUUGUUAGUGUUUGAAACUCAUUAGGUCAAGGUAACUGUGAGUAGAAUAAUUGUUUAAAUCCAAAUUGUUACAGACUUCCCUCUCCUUUUCCCACAAAGCCUUCCAAUUUAAUUGACGACGACUGAAAUAUAAGUGUUAUCGACAGUGACAGCUAUUUAAAAAAGAACAACUUAAUGUGUAAAUUUGAAUCAGAAAUAAUGUGCAUGAAGGCAUUGCAAGAAAAGUCCUGGCAUAGUCCCAUAAGUGUUCGUAAAAGUGAGAGAGCUGUUUAAAUGCUUUCUACUUCAUCAUUUUUAUGUCACUGCUGAAAGGACAAGGCCUGAAAUGUAAAUUCCUGUGAUAAACACAUUUCUCUUUUGCUUUUGAAUCUCAAGCAAUAUAAAAGAA
RNAcentral lists this long non-coding RNA (1061 nucleotides) under Pogona vitticeps (central bearded dragon). RNAcentral describes it as "lncRNA (ENSPVIG00000000859.1)". The record is from RNAcentral. Lineage: Eukaryota; Metazoa; Chordata; Lepidosauria; Squamata; Agamidae.